This 77-nucleotide transfer RNA is filed under the name Lautropia sp. RNAcentral describes it as "tRNA-Arg". It matches the Rfam family "tRNA". From Rfam's summary of the family: Transfer RNA (tRNA) molecules are approximately 80 nucleotides in length. Their secondary structure includes four short double-helical elements and three loops (D, anti-codon, and T loops). Further hydrogen bonds mediate the characteristic L-shaped molecular structure. tRNAs have two regions of fundamental functional importance: the anti-codon, which is responsible for specific mRNA codon recognition, and the 3' end, to which the tRNAs corresponding amino acid is attached (by aminoacyl-tRNA synthetases). tRNAs cope with the degeneracy of the genetic code in two manners: having more than one tRNA (with a specific anti-codon) for a particular amino acid; and 'wobble' base-pairing, i.e. permitting non-standard base-pairing at the 3rd anti-codon position. The record is from RNAcentral. Lineage: Bacteria; Pseudomonadati; Pseudomonadota; Betaproteobacteria; Burkholderiales; Burkholderiaceae.
CUGCCCGUAGCACAGUCGGAUAGAGCAUCAGCCUUCUAAGCUGAGGGUCACAGGUUCGAUUCCUGUCGGGCAGGCCA